AUUGAACGCUGGCGGCAGGCCUAACACAUGCAAGUCGAGCGGAAGCACGGUACUAGCUCGCGGAUACAGCGGGCGAGGGGCGGGCAAGUGAGGGGUAUAUCGCAAGCUGCUGUGUCGAACGUGCUGAAGCGGGGGAAAAUACGGUAAAAGCGCAGACGGAGUACGGGGGGAAGCAUGGGACCUUCGGACAUUAGGUGAGUCAAGGAGGCGAUGUCGGGUUAGCUAGUUGGCGGGGUAAAGGCCCACCAAGCCGACGAUCCGUAGCUGGUCUGAGAGGAUGAUCAGCCACACUGGAACUGAGACACGGUCCAGACUCCUACGGGAGGCAGCAGUGGGGAAUAUUGGACAAUGGGCGCAAGCCUGAUCCAGCCAUACCGCGUGGGUGAAGAAGGCCUUCGGGUUGUAAAGCCCUUUUGUUUGGAAAGAAGAGCAGCAGGUUAAUACCCCGCUGUUCUGACGGUACCCAAAGAAUAAGCACCGGCUAACUUCGUG
This 492-nucleotide ribosomal RNA is filed under the name uncultured bacterium. RNAcentral's name for it is "partial 16S ribosomal RNA". It matches the Rfam family "Bacterial small subunit ribosomal RNA", at positions 29 to 507 of the family's 1533-position model. The record is from RNAcentral.